This 505-nucleotide ribosomal RNA is filed under the name uncultured bacterium. Its description in RNAcentral is "partial 16S ribosomal RNA". It matches the Rfam family "Bacterial small subunit ribosomal RNA", at positions 30 to 523 of the family's 1533-position model. The record is from RNAcentral.
AUUGAACGCUGGCGGCACGCCUAACACAUGCAAGUCGAGCGGUAGCAUGGUUAGUAGCAAUACUAACUGAUGACGAGCGGCGGACGGGUGAGGAACACGUAGGCACCUGCCCAAGAGAGGGGGGUAACUAAGGGAAACUUUAGCUAAUACCGCAUAAUUCUCUGAGGAGAAAAGUUGCCCGUAAGGGUAGCGCUUUUGGAGGGGCCUGCGUCCGAUUAGUUAGUUGGUGAGGUAAUGGCCCACCAAGACUGUGAUCGGUAACUGGUCUGAGAGGACGACCAGUCACACUGGGACUGAGACACGGCCCAGACUCCUACGGGAGGCAGCAGUGGGGAAUCUUGGACAAUGGGGGCAACCCUGAUCCAGCGAUGCCGCGUGGGUGAAGAAGGCCUUCGGGUUGUAAAGCCCCUUAGGCUGGGAAGAAGUUUAUGGGAUGAAUAAUCCUGUAAAUUGACGGUACCAGCAGAAUAAGCACCGGCAAACUCUGUGCCAGCCGCCGCAGUAA